CCCUUAGAUGUUCUGGGCCGCACGCGCGCUACACUGAUGCAUUCAACGAGUCUAAAACCUGCUCUGAUAGGGGUGGGUAAUCUUUUGAAUGUGCAUCGUGAUUGGGAUAGAUGAUUGCAAUUUUUCAUCUUCAACGAGGAAUGCCUAGUAAACGCAAGUCAUCAGCUUGCAUUGAUUACGUCCCUGCCCUUUGUACACACCGCCCGUCGCUCCUACCGAUUGAAUGAUCCGAUGAAUAUCAUAGAUUGAGGAUGCAAGCAGGUUCGCCUGUCUUCAUCUUCGAGAAGUGAAGUAAAUCUUAUCAUUUAGAGGAAGGAGAAGUCGUAACA
RNAcentral lists this ribosomal RNA (329 nucleotides) under uncultured eukaryote. RNAcentral's name for it is "partial 18S ribosomal RNA". It matches the Rfam family "Eukaryotic small subunit ribosomal RNA", at positions 1470 to 1796 of the family's 1831-position model. The record is from RNAcentral.